This is a long non-coding RNA of Brassica rapa (field mustard), 2231 nucleotides long. RefSeq lists it as uncharacterized. The record is from RefSeq and is a predicted model, not a curated record. NCBI's taxonomy places the organism in Eukaryota, Viridiplantae, Streptophyta, Magnoliopsida, Brassicales, Brassicaceae.
UUCUUGGCAGGUGUUCUUGGGACACUGUGGAGUUCGUGAUACAGAUGGGAAUGAGUUGCCUCGCCUCGUCUAGUGUAUGUUUCUCGUGAGAAGCGGCCUGGAUUUGGGCACCAUGAGAUAGCUUGAGCAAUGAACUCUUUGUUAAGGAUGAAUCUGUUUCGUUAACUAGAAUCCAGCCUUGUCCUUCUUCAAAUUACCUAUGUUAUGUUUUUUUUUUUUCAAAAUAUCCUUUGGUAACAGUAACCUAGCUACUAUGCUUAACGCUAUGUCUAGGGAUUCAUGAAACGGUAUUGUGAAUUGUGACUGGCAUUGUAAGCGUCGAUUUGUUGCUGAUCCUUUUUGUUUCAUCAAGCUUUCCUUGACUGGACGUUAAUAUGGAUCAUUUAUGUGUUUACCUUUUCUUGAAGAUCCGUGUCUCUGCUGUUCUGUCAAACGCUCCUUGCCUUCUGAACGUAGAUUAACUGUGAUCUCUACAUCAACAACGGCAAGGCGAUUAGAGAAGCUACUAUAUGUUUCAUGAUGGAUCCACAAAUCUGGAAAGAAAGUUUGUUAUGUUCAGUUUUCCUCAGAGAUUUGACGGGAUCGAUAGACAUGAUCGAUACUCUAAUCGCAACGUUGUGUUCUUUUGAUGUUUGUCUUUUGCUUCAUUCUGUUUAUGUUCUUACUUCUCUCCCUCCUUUCUCAUUUGCCUUUUGGUGUGAAAACAGAUUAACAUGAAAGGUCCUGAUGGGAUACAAGGACCGAUAUACGUUGGGACAGGUUGUGUCUUUAGAAGACAAGCACUUCAUGGUUUUGAUGCACCAAAGAAGAAGAAACCACCAGGAAAAACCUGGGCCUAAAUGGUGUUGUCUAUGUUUUGGGUUGAGAAAGAAAGGACCUAAAGAGACAUCAACGCAGAUCCAUGCUGUUGAGAACAUCAGAGAAGGUGACAUCGUUGCAGUUUGGUUAGUCUCCAGUUUUCGUUGCUUCUGCUGUUCUGAAAGAUGGUGCAGUUCCUCGUAAACGCAAGCCCUGCGUGUUUGUUGAGAGAAGCCAUUCAAGUUAUUAGAUAGGGAUGCGAAGAUAAAACCGAAUGGGGAAAAGAGGUAACCUCAUUACAAGGUUUUCAACAUGUUAGAAAGUUGCAAAACUCCUUGUGAUCUCAUUCUACUUACUACUUACAUGCAGAUUGGGUGGCUUUACGGAUCGGUUACAGAACAGAAGAUAUCUUUAACAUGGAUGGAGAUCUUUAUUACUGUAUGCCAAAGCGUCCAGCUUUUAAAGGAUCUGCUCCCAUUACGUUCGGCUCUUGGCUCUGUGGAGAUUUUCUUGGAGUUAGCACUAACUUCAAAGUCACGUCGAAAGCAGCAAACGAUGGAGCUUUCUCUGAGCUUCACAUAUUCAAAUGGACGACUCUGUUGACUACCCUUCUGAUCAUAAACAUCAACGGAGGUAUUGUCGGAUGCCAUUAGCAAUCUAUUGGGGACCUCAGUUUGGGAAAUUUUUCUAUGCUUUUUGUGUCAUUGUUCAUUUAUACCCAUUCCUCAAGGGGUUGCUUGGGAAGCAAGAUAGAAUGCCUACGAUUAUUGUGGUUCUAUUCUUCUUGCCUCAAUUUUGACGCUCUUGUAGGUUAGUAGAGUUAAAUCCGUUUGUGGCUAAAGGUGGACUAGUGUUAGAGAUAUGUGGUCUGAGCUGUGGAAACUAAACUCAGUAAUAAGAAAACAAAGACUUACCGGCUGUUCCUUUUAUCUUGCUGCAAUGAGUUUUUCGAAAGUAUAAAAAAAUCUUAACUAUACUUCGGAGUGAGAAUGUUUAGCUGAUUGAUAAAUAAUGGAAAAAAAAAAAUCAAGAAAACAAUUAAAUAAAUCUCAUCAGACAACAAAAAUCUCGAGGAAAUCAUAUUCAUGAUUUUUAUUAAACUCCCACAACCAUAAGGCUAAACAAUGCCAACCGAACCAACAAAUGAUUGUGUUCAUUUCUUAUUCCUUUUAUUAUUACUAGUGCAAAAUUAUUUUUAAAGUUUCUUUUUUUAUUGUUUGUAAAUGUUAAAUUUUAUACUAAAUUUUCUUUGCGUCAAAAGAUACGCUUCUAAAGUACGCCUUUAAAGUUUGAUAGCUCUUCCCCCUCCCUCACCUUACGCUUCAAACGGAAACUAGAAGCGAAUGAAAAAAAAAACUAAAACAAUACCAAGAGAGGAAAGAAGAAGCAACUGCAACAAUUACACAAACAAUAACAUAACUAAACAAAAGGUU